Molecule: ribosomal RNA, 443 nt
Filed under: uncultured bacterium
Lineage: Bacteria
Description: partial 16S ribosomal RNA
Rfam family: Bacterial small subunit ribosomal RNA
Source: RNAcentral
CCUACGGGAGGCAGCAGUGGGGAAUAUUGGGCAAUGGGCGCAAGCCUGACCCAGCAACGCCGCGUGAAGGAAGAAGGCUUUCGGGUUGUAAACUUCUUUUCUCAGGGACGAAGAACGUGACGGUACCUGAGGAAUCAGCCACGGCUAACUACGUGCCAGCCGCCGCGGUACUACGUAGGUGGCAGGCGUUAUCCGGAUUUAUUGGGUGUAAAGGGCGUGUAGGCGGGGGAGCAAGUCAGAUGUGAACGAUCAGGGCUCAACCCUGGGCCUGCAUUUGAAACUGUGUUUCUGGAGGGCAGGAGAGGGAAUCGGAAUUCCGUGUGUAGCGGUGAAAUGCGUAGAUAUACGGAGGAACACCAGUGGCGAAGGCGGAUUGCUGGACAGUAACUGACGCUGAGGCGCGAAAGCGUGGGGAGCAAACAGGAUUAGAUACCCUUGUAGUC